Molecule: ribosomal RNA, 356 nt
Filed under: uncultured Smithella sp.
Lineage: Bacteria; Pseudomonadati; Thermodesulfobacteriota; Syntrophia; Syntrophales; Smithellaceae
Description: bacterial SSU rRNA
Rfam family: Bacterial small subunit ribosomal RNA
Source: RNAcentral
UACAUCGGUGACAGGUGGUGCAUGGUUGUCGUCAGCUCGUGUCGUGAGAUUGUUGGGUUAAGUCCCGCAACGAGCGCAACCCUAUUGUUAGUUGCCAUCAUUCAGUUGGGCACUCUAGCGAGACUGCCGGUAAUAAACCGGAGGAAGUGGGGAUGACGUCAAAUCAGCACGGCCCUUAUGUCCAGGGCUACACACGUGUUACAAUGGGUGGUACAAAGAGAAGCCAACUCGCGAGAGCGCGCCAAUCUCAAAAAGCCAUCCUCAGUUCGGAUUGGAGUCUGCAACUCGACUCCAUGAAGUUGGAAUCGCUAGUAAUCGCGGAUCAGCAUGCCGCGGUGAAUACGUUCCCGGGCCUU